This 759-nucleotide ribosomal RNA is filed under the name Bacillus pumilus. RNAcentral describes it as "bacterial SSU rRNA". It matches the Rfam family "Bacterial small subunit ribosomal RNA", at positions 49 to 792 of the family's 1533-position model. The record is from RNAcentral. Lineage: Bacteria; Bacillati; Bacillota; Bacilli; Caryophanales; Bacillaceae.
CUAUACAUGCAGUCGAGCGGACAGAAGGGAGCUUGCUCCCGGAUGUUAGCGGCGGACGGGUGAGUAACACGUGGGUAACCUGCCUGUAAGACUGGGAUAACUCCGGGAAACCGGAGCUAAUACCGGAUAGUUCCUUGAACCGCAUGGUUCAAGGAUGAAAGACGGUUUCGGCUGUCACUUACAGAUGGACCCGCGGCGCAUUAGCUAGUUGGUGAGGUAACGGCUCACCAAGGCGACGAUGCGUAGCCGACCUGAGAGGGUGAUCGGCCACACUGGGACUGAGACACGGCCCAGACUCCUACGGGAGGCAGCAGUAGGGAAUCUUCCGCAAUGGACGAAAGUCUGACGGAGCAACGCCGCGUGAGUGAUGAAGGUUUUCGGAUCGUAAAGCUCUGUUGUUAGGGAAGAACAAGUGCAAGAGUAACUGCUUGCACCAUGACGGUACCUAACCAGAAAGCCACGGCUAACUACGUGCCAGCAGCCGCGGUAAUACGUAGGUGGCAAGCGUUGUCCGGAAUUAUUGGGCGUAAAGGGCUCGCAGGCGGUUUCUUAAGUCUGAUGUGAAAGCCCCCGGCUCAACCGGGGAGGGUCAUUGGAAACUGGGAAACUUGAGUGCAGAAGAGGAGAGUGGAAUUCCACGUGUAGCGGUGAAAUGCGUAGAGAUGUGGAGGAACACCAGUGGCGAAGGCGACUCUCUGGUCUGUAACUGACGCUGAGGAGCGAAAGCGUGGGGAGCGAACAGGAUUAGUAUUUUUGUUU